UACAGAGGUCCCGAGCGUUGUUCGGAUUCACUGGGCGUAAAGGGUGCGUAGGUGGCAUGGUAAGUUUGAUGUGAAAGCUCAGGGCUCAACCCUGAAAUGGCAUUGAAUACUACUGUGCUGGAGGUUUGGAGGGGGGACUGGAAUUCUUGGUGUAGCAGUGAAAUGCGUAGAUAUCAAGAGGAACACCGGUGGCGAAGGCGGGUCUCUGGGCAGUAACUGACGCUGAGGAGCGAAAGCGUGGGGAGCGAACAGG
RNAcentral lists this ribosomal RNA (253 nucleotides) under uncultured bacterium. RNAcentral describes it as "partial 16S ribosomal RNA". It matches the Rfam family "Bacterial small subunit ribosomal RNA", at positions 524 to 776 of the family's 1533-position model. The record is from RNAcentral.